CCAAUAGCGUAUAUUAAAGUUGUUGCAGUUAAAAAGCUCGUAGUUGAAUUUCGGGAUUGGCGCAUCGGUCGUGCCUCACGGGGUAUGAACUGGUGCAGUCAAUUUCUCACCUUCUGGAGAACCGCGAUGUCCUUAAUUGGAUGCCGCGGGGAACCAGGACCUUUACUUUGAAAAAAUUAGAGUGUUUAAAGCAGGCAUUUUUGCUUGAAUAAAUUAGCAUGGAAUAAUAAAAUAGGACGGCAUGGUUCUAUUUUGUUGGUUUCUAGGACCACCGUAAUGAUUAAUAGGGAUAGUUGGGGGCAUUAGUAUUCAAUUGUCAGAGGUGAAAUUCUUGGAUUUAUUGAAGACUAACUACUGCGAAAGCAUUUGCCAAGGAUGUUUUCAUUAAUCAAGAACGAAAGUUAGGGGAUCGAAGACGAUCAGAUACCGUCGUAGUCUUAACCAUAAACUAUGCCGACUAGGAAUCAGACGAUGUUAAUUUUUUAAUGACUCGUUUGGCACCUUACG
Molecule: ribosomal RNA, 507 nt
Filed under: uncultured Glomeromycotina
Lineage: Eukaryota; Fungi; Glomeromycota
Description: partial small subunit ribosomal RNA
Rfam family: Eukaryotic small subunit ribosomal RNA
Source: RNAcentral